Molecule: ribosomal RNA, 253 nt
Filed under: uncultured bacterium
Lineage: Bacteria
Description: partial 16S ribosomal RNA
Rfam family: Bacterial small subunit ribosomal RNA
Source: RNAcentral
UACCUGGGGUGCAAACGUUGCUCGGAAUUAUUGGGCGUAAAGCGCGCGUAGGCGGUUAUCUAAGUCGGAUGUGAAAGCCCUCGGCUUAACUGAGGAAGUGCACCCGAAACUGGAUAGCUAGAGUACGAAAGAGGGUCGCGGAAUUCCCGGUGUAGAGGUGAAAUUCGUAGAUAUCGGGAGGAACACCGGUGGCGAAGGCGGCGACCUGGGUCGAGACUGACGCUGAGGCGCGAAAGCGUGGGGAGCAAACAGG